GUCCGUUUGGUGACAUUUGACAAAAUUGGAAGAAUAUAGGGAAGGUUAGCAUGGCUCCUAAAAGUAUGACACGCACAAAUUGAGAAAUGAUUUUGCUUUUU
This is a small nuclear RNA of Lycium ferocissimum, 101 nucleotides long. NCBI's taxonomy places the organism in Eukaryota, Viridiplantae, Streptophyta, Magnoliopsida, Solanales, Solanaceae. The record is from RefSeq and is a predicted model, not a curated record.